GACAGAGGGUGCUAGCGUUGUUCGGAAUGACUGGGCGUAAAGGGCGCGUAGGCUGUUAUUCAAGUCAGAUGUGAAAGCCCCGGGCUUAACCUGGGAACUGCAUUUGAUACUGGAUGACUGGAGUGCGAGAGAGGAAAGCGGAAUUCCUAGUGUAGAGGUGAAAUUCGUAGAUAUUAGGAGGAACACCAGAGGCGAAGGCGGCUUUCUGGCUCGCAACUGACGCUGAGGCGCGAAAGCGUGGGGAGCAAAC
RNAcentral lists this ribosomal RNA (250 nucleotides) under uncultured bacterium. Its description in RNAcentral is "partial 16S ribosomal RNA". It matches the Rfam family "Bacterial small subunit ribosomal RNA", at positions 524 to 773 of the family's 1533-position model. The record is from RNAcentral.